GACGAACGCUGGCGGCGUGCUUAACACAUGCAAGUCGAGCGGGGACAUCGUUGGAAAUCCUUCGGGGUGGAAGACGAUGUUCUAGCGGCGGACGGGUGAGUAACGCGUGAACAAUCUGUCCCAGACAGGGGGAUAACACUUGGAAACAGGUGCUAAUACCGCAUAAGACCACGAGGCCACAUGAUCUUGAGGUAAAAGGAGGAAUCCGGUUUGGGGUGAGUUCGCGUCCGAUUAGCUAGUUGGCGAGGUAACGGCCCACCAGGGCGACGAUCGGUAGCCGGACUGAGAGGUUGAUCGGCCACAUUGGGACUGAGACACGGCCCAG
Molecule: ribosomal RNA, 325 nt
Filed under: uncultured bacterium
Lineage: Bacteria
Description: bacterial SSU rRNA
Rfam family: Bacterial small subunit ribosomal RNA
Source: RNAcentral